GACGAAGGGGGCUAGCGUUGUUCGGAAUUACUGGGCGUAAAGCGCGUGUAGGCGGUUGUCCAAGUUGGAUGUGAAAGCCUUGAGCUUAACUCAAGAAAUGCAUUCAGGACUGGAUGACUAGAGGACCGGAGAGGAUAGUGGAAUUCCCAGUGUAGUGGUGAAAUACGUAGAGAUUGGGAGGAACACCAGUGGCGAAGGCGACUACCUGGCCUGUUCUUGACGCUGAGGCGCGAAAGCUAGGGGAGCAAACGGG
This 253-nucleotide ribosomal RNA is filed under the name uncultured bacterium. RNAcentral's name for it is "partial 16S ribosomal RNA". It matches the Rfam family "Bacterial small subunit ribosomal RNA", at positions 524 to 776 of the family's 1533-position model. The record is from RNAcentral.